GACGAACGCUGGCGGCGUGCUUAACACAUGCAAGUCGAACGGAAAGGCCCUGCUUUUGUGGGGUGCUCGAGUGGCGAACGGGUGAGUAACACGUGAGUAACCUGCCCUUGACUUUGGGAUAACUUCAGGAAACUGGGGCUAAUACCGGAUAGGAGCUCCUGCUGCAUGGUGGGGGUUGGAAAGUUUCGGCGGUUGGGGAUGGACUCGCGGCUUAUCAGCUUGUUGGUGGGGUAGUGGCUUACCAAGGCUUUGACGGGUAGCCGGCCUGGGAGGGGGACCGGCCACAUUGGUACUGAGAUACGGCGCAGACUCCUACGGGAGGCAGCAGUGGGGAAUAUUGCACAAUGGGCGGAAGCCUGAGGCAGCAACGCCGCGUGCGGGAUGACGGCCUUCGGGUUGUAAACCGCUUUCGCCUGUGACGAAGCGUGAGUGACGGUAAUGGGUAAAGAAGCACCGGCUAACUACGUG
This 468-nucleotide ribosomal RNA is filed under the name uncultured bacterium. RNAcentral describes it as "partial 16S ribosomal RNA". It matches the Rfam family "Bacterial small subunit ribosomal RNA", at positions 28 to 507 of the family's 1533-position model. The record is from RNAcentral.